AGAGUUUGAUCAUGGCUCAGGAUUAACGCUGGAGGCGUGCCUAACACAUGCAAGUCGAGCGAGACCAGAUCUUUAGCUUGCUAAGGAUGCUGCUAGCGGCGGACGGGUGAGUAAUGCAUAAGUAACUUGCCCUCUUGUUGGGGAUAACCCCAAGAAAUUGGAGCUAAUACCGAAUAAUCUUGUUUUUUCGCAUGUUAAGACAAGGAAAGGUUUACCGCAAGAGGAGAGGCUUAUGUCUGAUUAGCUAGUUGGUAAGGUAAUGGCUUACCAAGGCUACGAUCAGUAGCUGGUCUGAGAAGAUGAUCAGCCACAUUGGGACUGAGACACGGCCCAGACUCCUACGGGAGGCAGCAGUGAGGAAUUUUGCGCAAUGGAGGAAACUCUGACGCAGCGACGCCUCGUGAACGAUGAAGUCUUUCGGGAUGUAAAGUUCUGUCAGUGGGGAAGAUAAUGACGGUACCCACAGAGGAAGCACCGGCUAACUACGUGCCAGCAGCCGCGGUAAUACGUAGGGUGCGAGCGUUAUCCGGAUUUAUUGGGCGUAAAGGGUGCGUAGGUGGCUAGGUAAGUAAGGUGUGAAAGAUACAGGCUCAACCUGUAUUUGCGCCUUAAACUGCUUAGCUAGAAGAUGCUAGAGGAAAGCGGAACUCACAGUGUAGCGGUGAAAUGCGUAGAUAUUGUGAGGAACACCAGUGGCGAANNNGGCUUUCUGGGGCAUUCUUGACACUGAGGCACGAAAGCGUGGGGAGCAAACAGGAUUANAUACCCUNNANUCCACGCCGUAAACGGUGGUCAUUAGGUAUAGGGGGUCNACCCCUUCUGUGCCGUAGCUAACGCGUUAAAUGACCCGCCNGGGGA
RNAcentral lists this ribosomal RNA (858 nucleotides) under uncultured bacterium. Its description in RNAcentral is "bacterial SSU rRNA". It matches the Rfam family "Bacterial small subunit ribosomal RNA", at positions 8 to 879 of the family's 1533-position model. The record is from RNAcentral.